RNAcentral lists this small nuclear RNA (278 nucleotides) under Jaculus jaculus (lesser Egyptian jerboa). RNAcentral's name for it is "7SK RNA (ENSJJAG00000009187.1)". It matches the Rfam family "7SK RNA". From Rfam's summary of the family: 7SK was discovered as an abundant small nuclear RNA in the mid-70s but a possible function has only recently been suggested. The record is from RNAcentral. Lineage: Eukaryota; Metazoa; Chordata; Mammalia; Rodentia; Dipodidae.
GGGUGAUCUGGCUCUGAUAUAUGUCACCCCAUUGUAAUCCAGGGUUCAUUCAACUCACUUGGCUGGCAAGAUGGAUAACCCUUUCCUCCCUUGUGCAUCUUUCCCAAAGAUACAUGCAAUGUGUCUUAAGAGGACAGCAUUCCCUGAAUAAAGGAGGAUGGUUUUUCAGUCAAGUUUAUAUGGGUAGCUGAGCUCCCCUGCUAGAACCUCCCAACAAGCUCUAAAAAUGAAGAAAUAAAAGCAUAUCUAGUGGAGGAUAUUGCUGGUAUUCCCAUUUU